Molecule: ribosomal RNA, 408 nt
Filed under: uncultured Chloroflexota bacterium
Lineage: Bacteria; Bacillati; Chloroflexota
Description: bacterial SSU rRNA
Rfam family: Bacterial small subunit ribosomal RNA
Source: RNAcentral
UAACACGUAGGAGACGAGCGUUAUCCGGAUUUACUGGGUGUAAAGCGCGUGCAGGCGGUCUGUUAAGUUGGAUGUGAAAGCUCCCGGCUAAACUGGGAGAGGUCGUUCAAAACUGGCAGGCUAGAGUGUGGUAGAGGGGAGUGGAAUUCCGAGUGUAGCGGUAAAAUGCAUAGAUAUUCGGAAGAACACCAGUGGCGAAGGCGACUUCCUGGACCACAACUGACGCUCAGACGCGAAAGCCAGGGUAGCAAACGGGAUUAGAGACCCCGGUAGUCCUGGCAGUAAACGAUGUGGACUUGGCGUUGGUGGGAUAAAACCUAUCAGUGCCGAAGCAAACGCGAUAAGUCCUACCACCUGGGGACUACGGCCGCAAGGUUAAAACUCAAAGGAAUUGACGGGGGCCCGCAC